This 524-nucleotide long non-coding RNA is filed under the name Setaria italica (foxtail millet). RNAcentral's name for it is "long non-coding RNA (SITA_LNC007098)". Lineage: Eukaryota; Viridiplantae; Streptophyta; Magnoliopsida; Poales; Poaceae. The record is from RNAcentral.
UCUUUCCCAGCAAAGACGUACUCCAUGUUGGGCAACCACCUUUUGUUACGUGUUGUUCGGCGUCAACGGUUCCUCUGUUUCUACUUUCUCGUGCCAGAUACUCCGUACCGUACGUACUUCAUCUUCAUGUUGGCCAGUUAUUGGUUAUUAGCUCGUCUUUCUCUGACAUUUUUUUUUCAGUUCUCUAUUUUUCGCCUUUCAAUUAGCAUUGCGUUGGGAAAGCAAAGGCGUAGAUUUACUGGUUGGCCACUCAAAUAACUGCCGAGCAUUCCCUCUUCUUUACUUUACUCGCCACUGCUUUGGACCCCAGCUACGUCUGUCGGUGUUCAGGGCUCGAUCCCUCCUCUCGGAGGGUAAGCAAAUUGUUGGAGUCAUGUUCGGAAACAAAAAAGACGACAAGGAAGAAGAGGAGUAGGAAUAGGAAUUUGAGUUUGGGGGCAUCAUUAUGUAACUGCAUGAUGUAUAAAAUUUGACCAUAAUAAUACGAAACAACCUGACACCAACUUUUCACGCAAACAUACUAG